RNAcentral lists this transfer RNA (67 nucleotides) under Loxostege turbidalis. Its description in RNAcentral is "tRNA-His". Lineage: Eukaryota; Metazoa; Arthropoda; Insecta; Lepidoptera; Crambidae. The record is from RNAcentral.
ACUUAAAUAAUUUAAAUUAAAAUAUUGAUUUGUGGUUUCAAAAAUAUGAUAAAGGUCAUUUUAGGUU